GGUGGUGAGAAUUUAUCAUCAGCUGAAGAGCGACGACGUGGAAAGUUGGGGAGUGUUUAACGACGUCCUCGAUUCGGGAACCAAGAGCAGUCGUGACCACAUUGAUCACUGCAAUGCGACCCAAGCCAUCAGCAAUUGACUGCUGGGAAACAUUUUUGAGAUGACUUGGCGUUGGGUAUUAUGUUAAAUUAUACAUUCUGCAAUGUCUUGUAACGCCUGAAUUGAGGUUUAAUUUAAUGUAUUCGAUUCCAGUCGCAGUUACCUUUAUUGGAUGACAUGGUGGACACUUUGAUGUCGAGGGACUCGGACAGUGUGAUAAUUACUCGUGAACAAGAUGCCGUGGUUGAGUGGCUGGCCAGCAACAAAACCUUUCACAUUUUGAGAGACCAUCCCUAUCAUAACUUGUUUUUCCUUUGAGGUCUCUGGGGAACCAAAAUCAGCCAAGAACGCACUGCAAUUUUGUCUACGGCAGAAAAAAUGUUCCACAAAAAUCACUUGCACAAAAAAGGAUACGACCAAGAAUUGCUGAUUAAUUACUUUCAACCGAUGGCUGUCAAAAGCAUGGUUGCACACGACAGUUACCACUGUGGAAAAUUCCGAGGAAGUCAGCCGUUCCCGACCCCGAGACAAAACGGUUGGUUUGUCGGCUCGUCGUAGUACAAAUUGCAAACUAUUAAUUUAUGCCCUGAAAAUUGUCGACCGCACAACUUGACCGGGGCAUUAAAAUUAGCCGAUUGGAGAUUGUGCUGAGGAAUUUUUAAAAUAUUUUCCGUUUGAAAAUGUAGUCUAUAAAAAACUUAAACAAGAUUGACGCAAUACGAAACAUUUUUUGAUGCAGUCGAAUUCUU
Daphnia pulex (common water flea) is the source of this 848-nucleotide long non-coding RNA. RefSeq lists it as uncharacterized. NCBI's taxonomy places the organism in Eukaryota, Metazoa, Arthropoda, Branchiopoda, Diplostraca, Daphniidae. The record is from RefSeq and is a predicted model, not a curated record. The transcript has 3 exons.